UACAGAGGUGGCAAGCGUUGUUCGGAAUUACUGGGCGUAAAGGGUGCGUAGGCGGCCGUGUAAGUCUGGCGUGAAAGCCCCGGGCUCAGCCCGGGAAGUGCGCUCGAAACUGCGCGGCUCGAGUGCCGGAGGGGAGAGUGGAAUUCCUGGUGUAGCGGUGAAGUGCGUAGAUAUCAGGAGGAAUACCGGUGGCGAAAGCGACUCUCUGGACGGCAACUGACGCUGAGGCACGAAAGCGUGGGGAGCAAACAGG
This 253-nucleotide ribosomal RNA is filed under the name uncultured bacterium. RNAcentral's name for it is "partial 16S ribosomal RNA". It matches the Rfam family "Bacterial small subunit ribosomal RNA", at positions 524 to 776 of the family's 1533-position model. The record is from RNAcentral.